CCAGGCGAGCCAGCAGCAGGGGUGCAGGGACCGAGUGGCCCAGCCCCCUGGGCAGGGUGUCAGGGCCAGAGCCCAGAGGACGGCGGUUCAGGCUUCAGUCCCAGCCGGCGAACCAGAGCUGGGCAGAGCGGCCAGCAAGCGGCAGCCAGGGUGCCCUGGGCACUCGACCCCCAGAUGCCCCUGCUGGAACCGUAAAGGGGAGGCACCCUGAGGCCAGAGGGAGCAUGGCCCCGGGGACUGAGCAUCCGGCUCAGAGCGGCUCGGCAGAGGCCCACUGCUCAGUGGAGCGUGGAGGACGAGGAGGAGGCUGUCCACGAGCAAUGCCAGCAUGAGAGAGACAGGCAGCUUCAGGCGCAGGACGAGGAGGGAGGCGGCCAUGUCCCCGAGCGGCCGAAGCAGGAGAUGCUGUGAGCAGCCCCCUAACGCGUGCCUGGGCUCUAGCCCCUA
RNAcentral lists this long non-coding RNA (447 nucleotides) under Pan troglodytes (chimpanzee). RNAcentral's name for it is "long non-coding RNA NONPTRT002493". Lineage: Eukaryota; Metazoa; Chordata; Mammalia; Primates; Hominidae. The record is from RNAcentral.